GGUGAAACCAAGAAGAAGAAGAGGCGGAAGCGGGUGCGUGGGACAGCGAGAGGAGAACACGUGCUUGAGAUAAAGAGAGAAAGGCUCGUGAAUUAUCAGAAAUCACUUUUCCUGUCUUUCCUUUUUUAUUUGACUGAAGCUGAGCACUUUUGGUUAAAAAAAAAGAAAAAGGAAAAAAAAAAAACCAUUCCUGCCAUGGAGAACACCACCACAUUGUCCUGCAGAAACAUUUCUGAUGGUGAUGGUUACACUUACAAAGUGCCGUCUUAUAUACCAUCUGCUCUACUGCAGGACGAGGACUGUGAGCAAGAGUGGAUAAAUAAGGCAAGGGAGUUUUUGUCAGAUGGACAUCAUCAUGCAAAUAAAACUGAGCACCCACUGGUUCGUAAUGAAACCAUAAAAAACAUCAAAGUCUCCGAAUGCAUCGAGCUUCGCCAUUCUGUGACCUGUCAUGGAUCGAGUCAAAAGUUUAUACACACUUACCAAGUGAUCAAUGACACCGCCCUGAGUUUUGAGCAGCAAUCCAAUAGCACCAACACCACCAUCAUCUCUGUCGUCGUUCCCCUUAUUCUGAUUGUAGUCCUGAUUGUAGGCCUGCACUACAUAAAAAGGUAAAUCUGCAUCACCCUUACAUAGGCAGAUAAAUGAGGGAAGUUUAAAUAUUUUAACCUGCUGUUGGAUGACAGUAUCAUUAGACGUUGCACUGUGAUGUAGGACAAAAUCAUUCUUUGUGAAGGAGGGGGUUUUAAUGUUAAAAUUCCUUUCCUGCACGUUCAUUGCUGUACGACGCUUGGCUGAAAAUGAUUUUACUGCACACGUGUUUGCUCUGAAUAGAUCCAGUUCGAUCCAAGUUAUUGAUGUACUGUAGACUCUCGUCAGUACACACUGUAAACACAGACUGAUUCAGUUGAGUGAAGCAGACACACAGGGAUCACGGUCCUAAAUAGUUGGAGCUAAAUGGAAUUUUUUUUGUUGUUGCUUUUCAUGGACAGGUACAACAAGAAAAGAGAAGCCGUGUCAAAAGUAGUCAUAUCAAUGAAGAAGCUCAACCAGACCAAGCCAUGGAAUUGGUGAGCACCCAGAGCACUCCAAGAGCAUAUGAAGAUUAAGCUUCUCCCUCCGGUCUGAUUCUGCCUUUUCUAUAAUUGUACUUGUAUAUCUGCUUUUGCACUUUCACUACUCUUUUUUUUUGUUGUUGUUGUUGUUGCAUUUUUAACAUUUUAAAAAUAUUAAAUAGAUAAACAGAGACCUUGGAAUUAUAGGAUUCUUACAAGAUACAAGUGUUUUAAUCAUGCCAAAGCAGACAGAACAAUUUUUAUACUUCACACAUUUUAUUAUACUUUGUAGCAGUAUUUUGGUGUAAAAUAUAUUGUACUUGUAUAUCACUAGACAUACAAAAUAACAUAUUUUAUAACAUCAACUUAUUUUUGCCAAUGAAAGGGAACAUAAAACAUUAUGCUUUCAACUCGAGGUUGCAUAUUGUACUAACUCCAACCAGCAAAAGCCAAAGAAUUGCUCCUAACUUGAAACUGGGGUGGUCUCCUCAACUACCAAUUCCUUUCCUGUUUACAGUGAUUGAUCUUUCACUGUAGAUCAAUCACGAUAUAGAAAUAUCUGCUUUUUAAAUCUAGAUCACUGUCUGUACGAUUUGUGGAGAAAACUAUACAUCACUCAUCACAGCUAGCUGACUUGGUGCAAACUUUGUCGAACAUUCCGAGGUGGAAAAUGACGCCAUUCCAGCCUGAAAAUUAUCAUAAAGUCGAAUGCGUAGUAUAAUUCCAAGGUCUUGAAAUGUAGAUGAGCCAGUAUUAAAAAACACUUUUAGUUUCGUAUUCAUGUUUAAAUGGUAAAAUACUUCUGCACAUUCCUUUUUUAUUAUUUUUUUUAAAGUGAUUUUCAAUAUACUGUACCAAAAUAGACCCCAAAAUUCUCAUGAUUCAAGCUGACUCGUAAGAAGAGUGAAAAGUAAACCGGUAUUUUAUAAAAGAUGUAUUGCUGCAUCAUUAACACUGGCUAUAGGUUAUACAGAAGAGACUGCUAUAACUGAGCUAUUAGUCAAGUUUAAUUCAGUAUUUGAAAAAAAAUCAGUCUGCCCCUUCAUUUUAUUAAAAACACUUUUAUAUUACUGUGAAUUAAAAUGUUGCACAAAACAAUGAAGACCAAAUAACUUUUAUUAAAUCCUAAAGUAAUAUAAAAUACAGUAUUAAUAAUCAAAGAUUGUUAAAUUUGUUUUCUUAUUGUAUGUUAUUUAUCACUUCAUGCUGCCAUUUAAAUAAUGUAUUUGUUUUAUACAGCUGACCACUCUGAAUGCAGCAUUAAAGCAGGGGUGUCAAACAUGCCACCUGUAGCACUUGACCAGCCCUAUAGAGUCAUUUGUAAUCCAACCCAGCAAAUGAAUUUAGGAACCGUAAUAUUUUUAUGGACAUUUAUUUCUUUUUAAUGAAUUGCAGAGUGCACACAAUGUACUUUUCCACUAAAUUGGUCAAUAACCAACUUUUUCUGGCCCAUCAGACUAAGUAUAAUCCAUUAUGUAAGAUGCCCCUGAUUUAAAGCAUUAAUUUGUACACAUGCAAUACCUUUUUUUUUUUUUUCUUAAAAUUUUUAAAAUAUUUCUUUAUCUUAUUUUCUUUAACACUCUCACUUGAUUCUGAAUCUAAAUGUCUAUCAAGCUUUUCUGUGACUGUACAAUAAAAUAUCUGGCCUUGCUGAGUGCCUUUCUUUUAUAUAUGUAGCCUGAACUGGAGAACUCUAUAUCUUGGGUGAAUGUAGCUGUUACUGUAGAAUGAGACAAUGUGAAUAAACAUUUCUCUUUUAAUACCACAGCACUGUUUCAUUCUGAAUUGUGAUUGGCCACAAUGUGUUGAUUGAUUUUUUUUUAAGAGCAGCUCUGGCAGUAGUGCAGCUGCAAAUUGGUUCAUGUCUAGUUUGGUCUCUCAUGGAAAAAUUACAAUAUGAUGCCAUAUUGUUACACCCUUAAACACUGUAUAUGACUUAACGUACCUUGUGUUUCUUUUGCUGUCUGUUUCAGAAAGUUCCUACAAAGCACAUGUCAGAAUGAUAACAUGGUCAGUACUACUGAGUGUCCAAUACAGAAAACAAUGGGAAUUUAAUGGCUACUGGUACAGUGCUGCUAGAAAGUUUGUGAACCCUUUACAGGUUUCUGUAUUUCUGCAUAACUUUUACCAGAAAUGUGAUCACAUCUGGAG
Long non-coding RNA from Ictalurus punctatus (channel catfish), 3206 nucleotides. Lineage: Eukaryota; Metazoa; Chordata; Actinopteri; Siluriformes; Ictaluridae. The record is from Ensembl.